This 300-nucleotide unclassified non-coding RNA is filed under the name Endogonomycetes sp. RNAcentral describes it as "partial contains small subunit ribosomal RNA and internal transcribed spacer 1". The stretch from base 1 to 46 matches the Rfam family "Eukaryotic small subunit ribosomal RNA", at positions 1786 to 1831 of the family's 1831-position model. Lineage: Eukaryota; Fungi; Mucoromycota; Endogonomycetes. The record is from RNAcentral.
AAGUCGUAACAAGGUUUCCGUAGGUGAACCUGCGGAAGGAUCAUUAACAAUUGUCCAUUUUCCUUUGCAUAUGGAUGGUUUUAAAUCCAUAUCCACCUUUUUGUGCACAUCAUUGACACGUUUGCUUUGGCAGUUUGCGAGGAGAGAUUCCUUUACCCGUUUCUCUUGUGGAGGGGAAUGGAAAGUGAUACCUUUCACCUCCUUUUUCCUUCCGGCGCUGCCAGAGUUUUUCUUAUUUCAUCUUGACAAACUUUUCUUGCUUUUUUCUCGAAGCAAGCCUGAAAACAUCAAAUUUUUGGA